AUGAACACUUGGCGGCAUGCCUUACACAUUGCAAAGUCGAACCGGUAACAGGUUAAGCUGACGAGUGGCGAACCGGGUUGAGUAAUGUAUCCGGAACGUGCCCAGUCGUUGGGGGAUAACUGCUCGAAAGAGCAGCUAAUACCGCAUACGACCUGAGGGUGAAAGCGGGGGAUCGCAAGACCUCGCGCGAUUGGAGCGGCCGAUAUCAGAUUAGGUAGUUGGUGGGGUAAAGGCCCACCAAGCCAACGAUCUGUAGCUGGUCUGAGAGGACGACCAGCCACACUGGGACUGAGACACGGCCCAGACUCCUACGGGAGGCAGCAGUGGGGAAUAUUGGACAAUGGCGCAAGCCUGAUCCAGCCAUGCCGCGUGGGUGAAGAAGGCCUUCGGGUUGUAAAGCCCUUUUGUCCGGGAAGAAAUCGUCUGGGCUAAUACCCCGGGCGGAUGACGGUACCGGAAGAAUAAGCACCGGCUAACUUCGUGCCAGCAGCCGCGGUAAUACGAAGGGUGCAAGCGUUACUCGGAAUUACUGGGCGUAAAGCGUGCGCAGGCGGUUCGUUAAGUCCGAUGUGAAAGCCCUGGGCUCAACCUGGGAACUGCAUUGGAAACUGGCGGGCUGGAGUGCAGGAGAGGAAGGUAGAAUUCCCGGUGUAGCGGUGAAAUGCGUAGAGAUCGGGAGGAAUACCAGUGGCGAAGGCGGCCUUCUGGACUGACACUGACACUGAGGUGCGAAAGCGUGGGUAGCAAACAGGAUUAGAUACCCUGGUAGUCCACGCCGUAAACGAUGUCGACCAGCCGUUGGGUGCCUAGCGCACUUUGUGGCGAAGUUAACGCGAUAAGUCGACCGCCUGGGGAGUACGGCCGCAAGGUUAAACUCAAAUGAAUUGACG
Molecule: ribosomal RNA, 890 nt
Filed under: uncultured bacterium
Lineage: Bacteria
Description: partial 16S rRNA
Rfam family: Bacterial small subunit ribosomal RNA
Source: RNAcentral